RNAcentral lists this unclassified non-coding RNA (223 nucleotides) under uncultured fungus. Its description in RNAcentral is "partial contains 18S rRNA, ITS1, 5.8S rRNA". The record is from RNAcentral. Lineage: Eukaryota; Fungi.
GCGGAAGGAUCAUUACCGAGUGAGGGCCCUCUGGGUCCAACCUCCCACCCGUGUUUAUUUUACCUUGUUGCUUCGGCGGGCCCGCCUUAACUGGCCGCCGGGGGGCUCACGCCCCCGGGCCCGCGCCCGCCGAAGACACCCUCGAACUCUGUCUGAAGAUUGAAGUCUGAGUGAAAAUAUAAAUUAUUUAAAACUUUCAACAACGGAUCUCUUGGUUCCGGCA